UGUGAAUUUCACUCGUGAUGUUAGCGUAUAUGGAGCGUUUUCAACGUGGUGCUGUCGUGUUAUUGUUACGAAACUUUCAAGAUUUAUUUGCUGAAAUAGCUGAACGUAUCGAAGACGUCUUUAGAUGGACAAGCUCUAUUCAGUUUUCAAAAGUUGACUGACACGGCUAACUACAGUGACUGGAAAUUUAGUAUGGAAAUGUACGUAAAACUCGAGAAACUAUGGGAAGCCACUGCUGGAACUGAUGAAUAUCCGAAGAAUGUACGGUUUAAUGCGUACCUGUAUUCGUACACACACUUAUUCUCUACCAGAUUCCGAGUGGAAUCCACCACUAUCAUGGGGAACGCAAGAAUCCACUUUUCUGUUUUACUCGAUGACUCUCCGUCAAUUACUAAGAGUAAAAUGUAAAUGGUGCAUAAGAUUAUAAAUUCCAGAUAUCAUCAGGAAAUGGAGAUUACAAUUUUAUAGCCACCGAUAUAGCACAGACAAAAACAUGCUCGCAAAAAAUUAUAAACUUAGCCUUAUCGAUGAAAAACGACACAUGACUGAUGAAGACCUACAAGAAAUUGGCAUUCGUGAAAUAAUUCAAGACGGAACAAAAUUUAGAACCGUAGUCCACAAGCAAAAAUUUGGUUAGAACUUAAGGAGAAACAUAAUGAACGAAUGUAGAAAUACUGGGAAGAAAAGAACAGUUCAAACCCGCUCCUAAUUCUGAUACAACGAAUAAAACGACGCAUUAUUUUUAUUUGAGAGAAGGUGAACUUCUUAGCUUUAUUUUUAACCGCAGCGUCGUUGUUAUUUAAACUAAAA
Molecule: long non-coding RNA, 810 nt
Organism: Schistocerca serialis cubense
Lineage: Eukaryota; Metazoa; Arthropoda; Insecta; Orthoptera; Acrididae
Exons: 3
Source: RefSeq, a predicted model, not a curated record